Molecule: ribosomal RNA, 497 nt
Filed under: uncultured bacterium
Lineage: Bacteria
Description: partial 16S ribosomal RNA
Rfam family: Bacterial small subunit ribosomal RNA
Source: RNAcentral
GAUGAACGCUGGCGGCGUGCCUAAUACAUGCAAGUCGAGCGAACAGACGAGGAGCUUGCUCCUCUAACGUUAGCGGCGGACGGGUGAGUAACACGUGGAUAACCUACCUAUAAGACUGGGAUAACUUCGGGAAACCGGAGCUAAUACCGGAUAAUAUAUUGAACCGCAUGGUUCAAUAGUGAAAGACGGUUUUGCUGUCACUUAUAGAUGGAUCCGCGCCGCAUUAGCUAGUUGGUAAGGUAACGGCUUACCAAGGCAACGAUGCGUAGCCGACCUGAGAGGGUGAUAGGCCACACGGGAACUGAGACACGGUCCAGACUCCUAAGGGAGGCAGCAGUAGGGAAUCUUCCGCAAUGGGCGAAAGCCUGACGGAGCAACGCCGCGUGAGUGAUGAAGGUCUUCGGAUCGUAAAACUCUGUUAUUAGGGAAGAACAAAUGUGUAAGUAACUGUGCACGUCUUGACGGUACCUAAUCAGAAAGCCACGGCUAACUACGUG